UUAAUAAAACAUUUGCAAGAUGACGUCUAAAAUUCCUGGGGCAUUUUAAGGACUUAAUGUUAUCAUUCAAGGAGUUCCAGAGUUUGGCUCCUCUGAAAGCAAAGGAGCGCUGCCCUGUUGACAGGCGACAUAAAGGUAUAUCCAAAGCACCAGAUGAUCGAGUUUGUCUAUUAUGGACUUGAGAACGUGAUUUAAACAUAUCAGCAAGAUAGUCUGGAACAAGCUUGUUAAUACAUUUGUGCAUCAUAGUAGCGUCAUUUAGAAUGAGUUUCUCUCUAAUAGGAAGCCAUUUCAACGAUCGCAACCCAUCCGAAAUAUGGUCAUACUUUCUUAGUCCCAGAAUAAUUCGCCCAGCAAAGUUUUGGACUUUUUGUAACUUGUCAAUAUUGCUGCUGCUGGUAUUACUCCAGACAGUUGAACAAUAUUGGAGUUUACUAAAGACAAAUGAAUUUAUUACUAACAGAAGUGUUUUCCUAUCCAGGAGGUGCUUGAUUCUGUUAAUUUGGUACAAUUUAAAAAGGCAUUCUAUUUGUUGAGAAAGCACUAACACGAUUAAUUUACUUUCUAAUACGUCUGUGCUCUUCGACAAGCCUCCUGUAUCAUUCACAAAAAAGAUCAUCUACUUCGAUCGUACCAAAAAUUAUUAAAGAGGUCUUGAAUUGAACUCGAUUGUUUACCCUUUUGCUUUUGGAAAAUCAAUCGAUUGUGACUUCCUUUCUAACACCACACAACCAUACUAAGACUAGGACACCUCCAUCUAAGUUACAGAGGGUAAAAAGGACAAGUAAAGUUGUCUUAAGAGCUUGUUCCACUAUCGUUUUCCGACGCAUUUUCCUCAUUCACUUAUUUCGCGGAAACCCUAACCGGCACGUAGCAGCGGUUAUUUGCAUCAAACAAAAAUUUGCAGAACAUGCGCAGAAAAAUUGCCUCUCUGCUGCGAUUAUCAGAAAUUGUCGGCUAUUCCAAUAUGACAGACUAUUCCAGAAACACCAGUUGCGAUUUAACAAUAGUCAAGCGACGUGACUGAACCAGAUUUGAACAUUAUUAUAUGCUCUACAUGUGAAUUUUCUUCUUGCACAUACCCAUAAUGCCUUGCGCCUUGGGGGGUAACCAGGAUGAAAAACAUGGCGUCUUGUGCUUCGAAAAGUAAGCCUUGCCUGAAAUAUCCAAAAGCCUACAAAGAAGUCUCUGGUUCAACAAAACCAAAACUAAAAGAGCUCUGUAGAGCUUUAACAAUUGAUUUUGAAAAGUUAAUUGGAAAAAAAACACUCGUAAAUGUCGUUUGCAAUGCUUUGAACAUAUCGACUUCUGGCUCUGUCAAGAGUAAACAUGACGCAGUGACUACGAAAAAAAACUGAUAUUCCAUCGCUUGCAUGCCUACAAAAGCUGAAAGACUGGUAGAAAAGCUUAAAAGGAGUCCCUCUGAUGAUGAAGGAGUGGAUUGUAAAAGAAUUCUUGAUAGGAUCUGGCUACAAACAACAAGCUGUUCGAAAAUAUAAGACGCUUCACUCGUGGGAACACAAGCAAGGAAUUCACUCUGUAAAGUAAGUCAAUCCUUCUUCAUUUUAAUAUUUCAUUUCUUUAAAUUUAUAUUCUUUCGUAUUAUUUCAGAGUCCAUUUAUUGCCAGAAUAUCAGAAAUAUUGGGCCCUUAGGGCGAGUUGUAACCCGUCGUUUUCGACAGACAGUGAAGAGAGCAAGUUGAUGUACUUGGUCCUAGAACGGUCAACUGGCAAGUCAGUUUUCUCGCACUGUACUUGUACAGUUGGAUUAAGAGGAGACUGCAGUCAUAUUGGAGCUCUCAUGUUCAUGUUGUGUGAUGUUGUGGCAGAGGGACAGCAACAGCUUCCUCCUGAUCCUACAUGCACUGAUUUACCUUGUUCUUGGUUUAACCCUUAAGACAAGUUCCUUGCAGCUUAUCAGGGAGAGAAAUGACCAUGUAAGCAGUCCUCGCCAGCUGGUUCGACUCCUGACCAAGGAUGACUGAGGUGAUGAAGAUAACGGCAAAACGAAGAGUUCAAGAGAAUAAACUGAAAUCAACGAAUGCGAAAGAAACUCUGCAAAGAUAAGAACUUUGAUGUUAAUUGUAUUCUUGUAUAAAAAUGGUGGCUGCCUAAAUGUCAAGAUUGGCUUGUGAACCUCAGCUGAUUGAAUUGUCUUGUAAAAUACUAAAGGGAAACGGAGGAGUAAAAGAAGGCGAGGAGGCAUUCUUCGUGUACGACUUGUUUGAGGUGAUGGCAGCCACCAUUUAAGUUGGAUAUUUUAAGGUGGCACUGUAAGGUAAAUGGCUUUUGAAAGAAGAAAUAUGAAAAUUAAAACACGUACAGAUUCUCCUAUCAGUUUUAUAAAAUUAGAACUAAGUAUUCGAAUUUUCUAAGAAAAUGUUUUUAUCUUUGAUAUCACAACAAACAUUUUCUGGAAACAAGUCAAUGUUCUUGUUUUUGAUAAUUUUUUAUGUGGAGAAUUAGGAUUCUUAAAGGAUAAUUGAUCUGCUCUUUUGUCAAUACAAUAAUCAGUGCCGCCUUAGAUGAUUCACACAUUUUCUUUGUAGUUUUAUUAGUAAUAGACAAGAGAACGUUGACAACAUAGAAUGCUUUGGGAAACUAUUCAAAAUGAGUUUUCGUCUGAUUGGCGUAAAAGGAUAGCUACGUCCUUUUCAUUUGUUAUGAAACAAUCCCACUUUGGUGACGCUACGUUAACGAUACAUUUACCGCCCUACACAACGGCGAAAUGACAAAACAGAACACUUAACAUUAAGUUCAUUUAAAAAGGACGAGAAAUAGAAAACAUCCUUUUUCAAACCUUACCUGAAACCAACAGAUUAAUCAGACGUAUAAUUCUAUAAUCCGAGAUCGCAUCAAGUUAUAAAUAUUAAAUUCUAAAGAGACGAGUUUGCGAAGUUGGCAACACGCCUGAAAAUUUAUCCGUCGUAAAGAAAAAUACCGUAAAGGUUUUUUUAAAAAGAAAAAAAACUUCAGUUUUAUCAGACGAAAACAAAACUCACUUCGACCUUCGGAAACAACCGAAACGGAAGCCAGCUCAACUGCUAAGAGGAAUCGUAGCGUAAACAAUUACAUGAUCAAUGUCUUCGACUAACGACCCAUACUACUGCUUGACGUUUAACCCAAGACUCUAGCUUUUUUCGUGGACUUAUUUGGACAGGUGCAUGUCUAUUAACUUACAACAGAGCACAGAUGACAUUAAAAAUGAUUAGCAAGUAUAGACAGACAGCUUUCAAAAAUACCUGUGGACAAAAUAACAUAAGAAAUGAUACGAAAGGAACGACCUUAAUUGACCAAUGACAAAUGAUAACGACUGGUGAUUCUUGCAGCCAAUCAUAUCUCGGAGAAAUGGACCCUGAUUUUGGGGGCAAAGAACUGUUCUCUUACUUUCGCAUUGACCAUUAAAUAGCUAAUUGAGGAACAAAAAGAUUUGGCGAGAGUACCAUAUAACCCCAACAUUAAUUAUGCAUUCAGACUAGUAGACUUUGUUUUCAAAGUUUUGUCGUGACA
This is an unclassified non-coding RNA of Stylophora pistillata, 3510 nucleotides long. NCBI's taxonomy places the organism in Eukaryota, Metazoa, Cnidaria, Anthozoa, Scleractinia, Pocilloporidae. The record is from RefSeq and is a predicted model, not a curated record.